ACGAGGAGGAAGGAGCUGCGCACGGAGCGGCGGUGGCAGCGGCCCCUGCCCGGGCUACGGCGGGGACGGAGCCCGCGGGUGUCCGGCCGCGGUGUCCCCCGUGUCCCCACGUGCAGGCUCCUCCGUGUUGCUCUCUGAAAGCAUUUCAAGCUCCACAUGCAGAAGCUGUUUCUCAGUGAGCAGCUGUGGGGCAUUUGGCUGAUGGUUUUGACAGCAGAGAUGAAUUGAGGACGUGGCAUCUGCAGUCCUGACCUGGAAUUUGAACCCUUUAGUGCCUCUCCCUCCUCCCAGAUGGAGAGGAGGCGGAAGAUCUCGGAAUCUUCUGAUUGCCAUCGAUCUGAUUUUGCUGAGCACUGGCCUCGUAUCACAUCUGUGUGUUCCUUGAGAGAUGAUUUCAAUCUGUAAAAAACCCCUACGUUUUUUGUCAUCUGUGUCCAAAACCUCCAGCAGAAACUCCAUGAUUGGAGCAAUUUGGUCCGAUGCCAUGAGAAGGGACUGCUCCACACACUUUAGGAAGAGCAAAAAGGAGAAAGAAAAGAAGGUGAAACCCUCUGUGCUGUGCCUGAUCACUCAUCAAAGGCAGCUGCCUCCUGUGCUGGCUUGAGGGCGUGACAGAUGUCUGUAGCCUUUACAGGUGCAGGGCCUGCAUUUCAUCAGUCUUUUUUCCAUGGAUGACCUGGAGUGUGGUUUAUUAGCAGCUCAGAUUUCUUUGGCCAAGGUGCUUUGUUGUGUACACAUCCGGGUUAAAGCUAAGCAAUAUUUCUGAUCCAUGUAGGAUUCUGACUUGGUCCUGCGUCUCUGGUGUUUACAAAAUGAUCAGAGUUUGAACUCUCUCUGUUCUGUUUCUUAAAUGUCAGCAGAAACUUCUUCUUAUUUUUUUAAAAUAAAACAAUGCAGCCUUCCCCUGCAAUGUUUGUAACCAAGAAACUGUGGCAUCACAAGAGCAUGAGGAAACACUGGCUGAUUAAAACCAGGGUAAGAAAUGACA
This is a long non-coding RNA of Agelaius phoeniceus (red-winged blackbird), 988 nucleotides long. RefSeq lists it as uncharacterized. Lineage: Eukaryota; Metazoa; Chordata; Aves; Passeriformes; Icteridae. The record is from RefSeq and is a predicted model, not a curated record.